Molecule: ribosomal RNA, 498 nt
Filed under: uncultured bacterium
Lineage: Bacteria
Description: bacterial SSU rRNA
Rfam family: Bacterial small subunit ribosomal RNA
Source: RNAcentral
GACGAACGCUGGCGGCGUGCUUAACACAUGCAAGUCGAACGAUGAAGCUAGAGCUUGCUCUGGUGAAUUAGUGGCGAACGGGUGAGUAACACGUGAGUAACCUGCCCCAAACUCUGGGAUAACUGCUGGAAACGGUAGCUAAUACUGGAUAUGACCAACGAAGGCAUCUUCUGUUGGUGGAAAGAACUUCGGUUUGGGAUGGACUCGCGGCCUAUCAGCUUGUUGGUGAGGUAAUGGCUCACCAAGGCGACGACGGGUAGCCGGCCUGAGAGGGUGACCGGCCACACUGGGACUGAGACACGGCCCAGACUCCUACGGGAGGCAGCAGUGGGGAAUAUUGCACAAUGGGCGCAAGCCUGAUGCAGCAACGCCGCGUGAGGGACGACGGCCUUCGGGUUGUAACCUCUUUUAGUAGGGUAAGAAGCGAAGUGACGGUACCUGCAGAAAAGACAACCGGCUAACUACGUGCCAGCAGCCGCGGUAACGAGUGUGUGUACG